Molecule: unclassified non-coding RNA, 364 nt
Filed under: uncultured Helotiales
Lineage: Eukaryota; Fungi; Ascomycota; Leotiomycetes; Helotiales
Description: sequence contains ITS2
Rfam family: 5.8S ribosomal RNA (bases 1-154)
Source: RNAcentral
AACUUUCAACAACGGAUCUCUUGGUUCUGGCAUCGAUGAAGAACGCAGCGAAAUGCGAUAAGUAAUGUGAAUUGCAGAAUUCAGUGAAUCAUCAAAUCUUUGAACGCACAUUGCGCCCCUUGGUAUUCCGAGGGGCAUGCCUGUUCGAGCGUCAUUAUAACCCCUCAAGCUCAGCUUGGUGUUGGGGCCUGCUGCACUGGCAGCCCUUAAAAUCAGUGGCGGCGCCAUCUGGCUCUAAGCGUAGUAAUUCUUCUCGCUAUGGAGUCCUGGUGGAUGCUUGCCAUCAACCCCCAAUUUUUCUAUGGUUGACCUCGGAUCAGGUAGGGAUACCCGCUGAACUUAAGCAUAUCAAUAAGCGGAGGCU